GGGCCCGCACAAGCAGUGGAGCAUGUGGUUUAAUUCGAAGCAACGCGAAGAACCUUACCAAGGUUUGACAUCCUACUAAUCUCUUAGAGAUAAGAGAGUGCCUGCUUGCAGGAAAGUAGAGACAGGUGGUGCAUGGUUGUCGUCAGCUCGUGUCGUGAGAUGUUGGGUUAAGUCCCGCAACGAGCGCAACCCCUAUUGCCAGUUACCAGCAUUUAAGGUGGGAACACUGGCGAAACUGCCGUGGAUGACACGGAGGAAGGUGGGGAUGACGUCAAAUCAUCAUGCCCCUUAUAUCUUGGGCAACACACGUGCUACAAUGGGAGAAACAAAGGGAAGCGAGACAGCGAUGUGGAGCGAAACUCAAAAAAUCUCUCUCAGUUCGGAUUGCAGGCUGCAACUCGCCUGCAUGAAGCUGGAAUUGCUAGUAAUCGCAGAUCAGAAUGCUGCGGUGAAUACGUUCCCGGGCCUU
RNAcentral lists this ribosomal RNA (469 nucleotides) under uncultured bacterium. RNAcentral's name for it is "bacterial SSU rRNA". It matches the Rfam family "Bacterial small subunit ribosomal RNA", at positions 917 to 1382 of the family's 1533-position model. The record is from RNAcentral.